AUUGAACGCUGGCGGCAUGCCUUACACAUGCAAGUCGAACGGCAGCACGGGAGCAAUCCUGGUGGCGAGUGGCGAACGGGUGAGUAAAGUAUCGGAACGUGCCCAGUCGUGGGGGAUAACGUAGCGAAAGUUACGCUAAUACCGCAUACGAUCUAUGGAUGAAAGCGGGGGAUCGCAAGACCUCGCGCGAUUGGAGCGGCCGAUAUCAGAUUAGGUAGUUGGUGGGGUAAAGGCUCACCAAGCCGACGAUCUGUAGCUGGUCUGAGAGGACGACCAGCCACGCUGGGAUUGAGACACGGCCCAGACUCCUACGGGAGGGAGCAGUGGGGAAUUUUGGACAAUGGGCGAAAGCCUGAUCCAGCCAUGCCGCGUGCAGGAUGAAGGCCUUCGGGUUGUAAACUGCUUUUGUACGGAACGAAAAGGUUUGGCCUAAUAAGCUGAGCUCAUGACGGUACCGUAAGAAUAAGCACCGGCUAACUACGUGCCAGCCGCCGCCGUAA
RNAcentral lists this ribosomal RNA (500 nucleotides) under uncultured bacterium. RNAcentral describes it as "partial 16S ribosomal RNA". It matches the Rfam family "Bacterial small subunit ribosomal RNA", at positions 30 to 523 of the family's 1533-position model. The record is from RNAcentral.